CAUGUGGGGGCACGCGCAAUCACCUGGCGGCACGGGCAGGCCCUCGGGACAACGCACAAGCACAUAUAAUGUAAAUAAAUAUUGUAAAACAAUGCAAAGUCAGCUGAGGGAUUAAUUACGUGCUACCAUUAAGGUUAUCGCAAUUGUACCUCCUCAUAUGUUUAAGAUUUGCACCACCCAGGCAGGCAAAGUUAUAAAAAUCAAACACACACCCCUAGCAUUCACUAAUGUACAAGUCUAGCUUCGGGAAAAUGCUUCAUUCAGACUGCCAGGGACAGACGAAGGCAAAAGCGAGACUCGGAAUACAACGUUUAAAACCGAAGAACCUGGGUUCUUCCGUGUUUGUUCUGCGUCCUUGAGCGAAUGGUAAUGAGCUAAAACAACAAAGAGGACGCCGUAGCUGCACAGCGGCUCUUCCUUCAACACUGUGGCGCCACGAUGGACUUUUCCACAUUUGAGAAUUAAAAAGCCAAGAAAUUUGACCAAGACUGAUCGUGCAUAACUUUGCACAGUGCAAUGCCACCACAGUGUUGUUCAAAUGGGUUUGAGGACAACUGCUUGCAUUCCCAGAGCACAGUAGAUGAAACCCGCCUCAGAAUUCCUAGUUGCCACAUCCGUUGAAAACACUAGCAGAUAAGGCGAACGUGACACUGCAGGGGUCAACCCAGCCAGCACAGCCCACCAUACAUUCUCAGUGGAGCUGAUGAGCCCUGAAAACCCAUCAGGGUACCUCCCUGUGUGGAGAGGAGACCACCUGUGGUGUUCUACAGAUGUGCUUUGGAGCUCUCCAGUCAUGCAGACGAGUCGCCACAGCUUCAUUCCAGCCAGGUACCCAGCACGAGGAUGACCCAUCAGUCUGCUGCAUGUUACAUGAGCCAAUCUGCUGGGAUGAUAAAUGAUAACCAGGAGCUUGGUGCUGCUGGCCCUGUCAGAGGAGAUUUCAGAUGGGAGCGAUGAUGAGGUUGCCACACCGAAGCACAGUGCGGACUCACAGCAGGUACAGAGCAGAGGAUGCAGUGCCACCAAUUAAUGUUUGUCUUAGUUCACCAGAGCACACUACACAACAUGUCGGCAAUUGCUGCCCCAACAAAUAACAACUGAGCAAAUGUGCAGCACUCUUGGGAGCAGGUGGGAAGGUGCAAAGUGUAAGGGAAUAUGAAACAACCAACAGCAACAAUUAGUCAGGUGUUGCUUCAGGAAUCACCUGGGGAAAAGAAUUUUGAACAAAAAACAAAACAACAAAGAUUUUUACUCUUUUUUUUCCCCUCAAAACUGGUUUUAAAUAGAGAAGUGUACAUUCAUGUGAUGACCCAUCAAAGUGUGAAAUAUUUAUCCAGAUGAGAUGUGUUCCCCUAAAAUAAAGAAAUGUAAUUUAAAAAGCACCUCAAUGGUAGGAUUAACAGUGUUCUGAAAUCUUACAGCGGAGCAAUUUCACUCGUCCUUUCUGUCAGGCUGCUCGACGUUCCUCCUGCCAUGUCUGCAUCACUACAGCAGGUCUUUGUAAAUAGCUGCCAUCUGGAAAUCACUAACAGCAGAGGGUGCCAAAGCUUUUCAGUUUUAUAUGUCCAAGGCACACUGAGUCUCAUUGCCUUCAAACCUCCCAAUUUAGGCACAAGAUUGUGGGGCUUUUCCCCCACAGUUUAAAGCAGUAUGAUUUGAUCAUUUGAACCAAUUGAACUCACUUAAUGGGGUUGACUUAAUGUACAGGCAAAAACCAAACAGGGCCACCUUAUCACAUCACUAUCAAAUGAACUGUCAACACAACAUUACAUAAUCUCUGUGAGCUGCUUUCUAUCUGAAUGUUACACUAGUUUAACUCCUGGGUGUUUUAAAGCUGACUUACCAGUCCUCUGUCUGUUUCAUGGGAUAUUUUUUGUUCCUCAGGAGCUGAGAUCUCCAACAUGGGCCAAGUGGAAACAUAAUAUACUGUAGAUAAUCAGAUUUACUGCAUUGCUGUCUUUCUUAUAUUGUCUUUCUUUCCUUUCCUUCCUUGAUAUUACUGCUAAUUUCACAGCAGCAUUUUAAUGAGAAAAGCCCAGCGCUGCACAAAAAGAGGCACCUGUUAUUCAGCCAUUAUCACACAACAUCUUUAUGGUCAUUAGAGCUCACUCAUGAAGCAACAGUUACCGUGCUAACACAACCAUGUCAAGCACUGCAAAGCUAUCCCAUUAAGCAAACUUUUGUUCUUCAGAUUGAGCUGUAGUGAAGAACCCUCUUCCAUGACACUGCAGUGAGUUGAGAUGAGUUACUGCUGUUCACAAUAUCCAUUCUGUGUGCACCUGACCCGGGAUUGAAUAUCCCUCUCACCAUCUGUUAUGAGAGAGGGAGAGAGAAACAGACAGAGCAGGAGAA
This is a long non-coding RNA of Monopterus albus (swamp eel), 2352 nucleotides long. RefSeq lists it as uncharacterized. The record is from RefSeq and is a predicted model, not a curated record. NCBI's taxonomy places the organism in Eukaryota, Metazoa, Chordata, Actinopteri, Synbranchiformes, Synbranchidae. The transcript has 4 exons.